GACGAACGCUGGCGGCGUGCUUAACACAUGCAAGUCGAGCGGUAAGGCCCUUUCGGGGGUACACGAGCGGCGAACGGGUGAGUAACACGUGGGUGACCUGCCCUCAGCUCUGGGAUAAGCCUGGGAAACCGGGUCUAAUACCGGAUAUGACUCCAUGACGCAUGUUGUGGGGUGGAAAGCCUUGUGCGGCUGAGGAUGGGCCCGCGGCCUAUCAGCUUGUUGGUGGGGUGAUGGCCUACCAAGGCGACGACGGGUAGCCGGCCUGAGAGGGCGACCGGCCACACUGGGACUGAGACACGGUCCAGACUCCUACGGGAGGCAGCAGUGGGGAAUCUUGCGCAAUGGGCGAAAGCCUGACGCAGCGACGCCGCGUGAGGGAUGAC
Molecule: ribosomal RNA, 383 nt
Filed under: uncultured bacterium
Lineage: Bacteria
Description: bacterial SSU rRNA
Rfam family: Bacterial small subunit ribosomal RNA
Source: RNAcentral